AUUAAUUAGCAGGGGAGAACUUGGGUUCAUUCUUACGAGCGAGCAAGCGAGGCGAGCCAGCGAGCGAGUCGAGUGCGUGCAUCGUGGUAGCGCCGUUGGAGGCCGGGCGAGCGCGAAAUUUCUUCUCCUAUCGACUUCUCGCUGUCGUGGAUUAGAUUUUGAGGUGGGUUAAUAUUAUACUUACCGAAUUACACGGAAUUCCUCCUAAGUCUAGUUGUUGUCGAUAUGUAUUCGCCGUUUUUGUAUAGCAUGCUUUAGUUGCUCGAUUCGUUGGUUUACUAUGUUUCUAAAUUUGAAUUGGAGCUUAGAAUAUUAGUUAAAUUAUACAUGUUGGAUUUAGAAUUGACUUAGAAAAAAACUGCCGAUUCUACACCGUCAUAUGUUAAAACUAUCAGAUUUAGCUUUAGGAGCCGUAAUUUGUUUGUAUCGCCGCAGUUUGUGGGCGGUGGAUACCCUAAUUAGUGUAGAAUGCAUUUACGCUCGUACUGAGAUGCCGAACUUAUUUUUAUAGCAGUGUUUAGACUGUUCCGGACUGUCGGGUGCUGUUGUGGUUGACGGUGGACCCAAUUUACUGCUUUUGCAUCAGAUUGUGCCGAUGGCACGUAAGUUUCGUUGUUAGACCCUGUUUACUUUGACCAUAGCCUGUGAGAGCCUGAUUGAGCUCGGCAGAGACACGCUUGCAUACUCGGUUGGGUAGCGCCCACGAGUGCCACUCCGGAGUCGGGCUUAGUACUUUUGCGUUGAUGUCGGUUUGUCCUAUUUGGACUUGCUCUCCACUGACGACCUAGCGUGGUGGCAGUUAGUGUAGUUUCGACAGGCGGGACGGGUGUGUUCACAGUCCCUAAUGAGAUUGGGUUAGAGAUUGCAUUAUUUUACAGAUAGUUAGUGUUGGAUCAUGAUAGUAUAGUGGCAUAUAGCUGUAAAUUGUUUUCAGUUCAUUUACUAUCAUUGAGCAUACAUCUGUGGACUUAGUGGAUGAGCCGUUGAGGUCGGUAGCAGUACCUACUGAGGAAUGCUUCUUUUUGCAGUAGUUCUCACGCACAGUUGUGGAUCUUUUGUAGAGCUAUUUUCUUCGGCUGUUGGUGUGGUAGAGACCGAUCGUAGAAAGGGUGUUGCGAGUUAGAGCUCUUCCCGACGAGUUACAGAGCUAGAGGAGCACCAGCUACAGGUAGUUGAAGUUUUGGUUCUUAUACAUACUGAUGUUUGUAUCUCGCUGGAACGAGUGAUUUUGUAUACUUUAAAUAUAUAUUAUUAUAUAUGAUAUUACAUAUUUUUUGUAUAAUAUGUUUUAAAUAUAUAUUUUUUUAAAUAUAAACUAGAAUAAUAAUAAAUAUAGUAUGAUAAUUAUUAUUUAUUAAUAAUAUAUAAUAUAUAAAAUAAAAAAAAUAUUAAUUUAUCUUCAUAACUUAUUUUUUUCUAUCAACCAAACAACCGUAACGGAAAACUUUUUUUUUUUUUCCUGCAAACCAAACGCUAAAGAACGUAAAACUUCUUUUUCUUCGAAAAUUUUUUUCCACCGAAAAUAUUUUUUCAUAGUUUUACGUGGAACCAAACACACCCUU
This 1562-nucleotide long non-coding RNA is filed under the name Ananas comosus (pineapple). RNAcentral describes it as "long non-coding RNA (ACOM_LNC033462)". The record is from RNAcentral. Lineage: Eukaryota; Viridiplantae; Streptophyta; Magnoliopsida; Poales; Bromeliaceae.